UAGGCGUAGAUGCUUAGGCAAUCGAGUAGACCGCGAGUAAUUUGACCCAACGCGUGCCCUAUAUGUAAUUAGGUCAACGUUUGACAUAACGGUAUUAUUAUAGUAGAUACUUUGUGUAAUAUAGGACACGCGUGGGGGCUUAGUGUGCUCAUAGUAUAAUAAUGGUUAUAAUCGGAUCGUGUGUUGGAGGCAACAGUGACUGACGAAAGCUGAUAGGAAUAGUAGGACGUGGAUGACUGAUAAAAAAAAGUAAGUAGGAAAAAGUAAAAUAUAUACAAAGUGAAAAGGGAGUGGAACAUGUAACAGAAAAAAAAACAGGAUUUUACCAC
RNAcentral lists this long non-coding RNA (329 nucleotides) under Mytilus galloprovincialis (Mediterranean mussel). The record is from RNAcentral. Lineage: Eukaryota; Metazoa; Mollusca; Bivalvia; Mytilida; Mytilidae.